CAACCCUCGAGCUCCCCUUGGGGAGCCCGGCGUUGGGGACCGGCCUCUACCGCCGACCCCGAAAUACAGUGGCGGCCCCGUCACGGCGACCUCUGCGUAGUAACUCAACCUCGCACCGGAAACCCGACGUGGCCACGCCGUAAAACACCCCACUUCUGAA
This 160-nucleotide unclassified non-coding RNA is filed under the name Zarea fungicola. RNAcentral describes it as "partial internal transcribed spacer 2". RNAcentral also lists the same sequence under 1 other name. Lineage: Eukaryota; Fungi; Ascomycota; Sordariomycetes; Hypocreales; Cordycipitaceae. The record is from RNAcentral.